GAUGAACGCUAGCUACAGGCUUAACACAUGCAAGUCGAGGGGCAGCAUGGUCUUAGCUUGCUAAGGCCGAUGGCGACCGGCGCACGGGUGAGUAACACGUAUCCAACCUGCCGUCUACUCUUGGACAGCCUUCUGAAAGGAAGAUUAAUACAAGAUGGCAUCAUGAGUUCACAUGUUCACAUGCUUAAAGGUAUUCCGGUAGACGAUGGGGAUGCGUUCCAUUAGAUAGUAGGCGGGGUAACGGCCCACCUAGUCUUCGAUGGAUAGGGGUUCUGAGAGGAAGGUCCCCCACAUUGGAACUGAGACACGGUCCAAACUCCUACGGGAGGCAGCAGUGAGGAAUAUUGGUCAAUGGGCGAGAGCCUGAACCAGCCAAGUAGCGUGAAGGAUGACUGCCCUAUGGGUUGUAAACUUCUUUUAUAAAGGAAUAAAGUCGGGUAUGUAUACCCGUUUGCAUGUACUUUAUGAAUAAGGAUCGGCUAACUCCGUG
RNAcentral lists this ribosomal RNA (490 nucleotides) under uncultured bacterium. RNAcentral describes it as "partial 16S ribosomal RNA". It matches the Rfam family "Bacterial small subunit ribosomal RNA", at positions 28 to 507 of the family's 1533-position model. The record is from RNAcentral.